AUUGAACGCUGGCGGCAUGCCUUACACAUGCAAGUCGAACGGCAGCACGGGUGCUUGCCCCUGGUGGCGAGUGGCGAACGGGUGAGUAAUACAUCUGAACAUGUCCUGUAGUGGGGGAUAGCCCGUCGAAAGCCGGAUUAAUACCGCAUACGAUCUACGGAUGAAAGCGGGGGACCUUCGGGCCUCGCGCUAUAGGGUUGGCCGAUGGCUGAUUAGCUAGUUGGUGGGGUAAAGGCCUACCAAGGCGACGAUCAGUAGCUGGUCUGAGAGGACGACCAGCCACACUGGGACUGAGACACGGCCCAGACUCCUACGGGAGGCAGCAGUGGGGAAUUUUGGACAAUGGGCGAAAGCCUGAUCCAGCAAUGCCGCGUGUGUGAAGAAGGCCUUCGGGUUGUAAAGCACUUUUGUCCGGAAAGAAAUCCUUGGCCCUAAUACGGUCGGGGGAUGACGGUACCGGAAGAAUAAGCACCGGCUAACUACGUG
This 486-nucleotide ribosomal RNA is filed under the name uncultured bacterium. Its description in RNAcentral is "partial 16S ribosomal RNA". It matches the Rfam family "Bacterial small subunit ribosomal RNA", at positions 30 to 507 of the family's 1533-position model. The record is from RNAcentral.